UGCAAGUCGAGCGGACAGAUGGGAGCUUGCUCCCUGAUGUUAGCGGCGGACGGGUGAGUAACACGUGGGUAACCUGCCUGUAAGACUGGGAUAACUCCGGGAAACCGGGGCUAAUACCGGAUGGUUGUUUGAACCGCAUGGUUCAAACAUAAAAGGUGGCUUCGGCUACCACUUACAGAUGGACCCGCGGCGCAUUAGCUAGUUGGUGAGGUAACGGCUCACCAAGGCAACGAUGCGUAGCCGACCUGAGAGGGUGAUCGGCCACACUGGGACUGAGACACGGCCCAGACUCCUACGGGAGGCAGCAGUAGGGAAUCUUCCGCAAUGGACGAAAGUCUGACGGAGCAACGCCGCGUGAGUGAUGAAGGUUUUCGGAUCGUAAAGCUCUGUUGUUAGGGAAGAACAAGUACCGUUCGAAUAGGGCGGUACCUUGACGGUACCUAACCAGAAAGCCACGGCUAACUACGUGCCAGCAGCCGCGGUAAUACGUAGGUGGCAAGCGUUGUCCGGAAUUAUUGGGCGUAAAGGGCUCGCAGGCGGUUUCUUAAGUCUGAUGUGAAAGCCCCCGGCUCAACCGGGGAGGGUCAUUGGAAACUGGGGAACUUGAGUGCAGAAGAGGAGAGUGGAAUUCCACGUGUAGCGGUGAAAUGCGUAGAGAUGUGGAGGAACACCAGUGGCGAAGGCGACUCUCUGGUCUGUAACUGACGCUGAGGAGCGAAAGCGUGGGGAGCGAACAGGAUUAGAUACCCUGGUAGUCCACGCCGUAAACGAUGAGUGCUAAGUGUUAGGGGGUUUCCGCCCCUUAGUGCUGCAGCUAACGCAUUAAGCACUCCGCCUGGGGAGUACGGUCGCAAGACUGAAACUCAAAGGAAUUGAC
RNAcentral lists this ribosomal RNA (877 nucleotides) under Bacillus sp. (in: firmicutes). RNAcentral describes it as "bacterial SSU rRNA". It matches the Rfam family "Bacterial small subunit ribosomal RNA", at positions 56 to 914 of the family's 1533-position model. The record is from RNAcentral. Lineage: Bacteria; Bacillati; Bacillota; Bacilli; Caryophanales; Bacillaceae.